This 433-nucleotide ribosomal RNA is filed under the name uncultured bacterium. Its description in RNAcentral is "partial 16S ribosomal RNA". It matches the Rfam family "Bacterial small subunit ribosomal RNA", at positions 29 to 507 of the family's 1533-position model. The record is from RNAcentral.
AACGAACGCUGGCGGCAUGCCUAACACAUGCAAGUCGAACGAGACCUUCGGGUCUAGUGGCGCACGGGUGCGUAACGCGUGGGAAUCUGCCCUUCGGUUGGGAAUAACUGAGAGAAAUUUCAGCUAAUACCUUAUAAUGUCUUCGGACCAAAGAUUUAGCGCCGAGGGAUGAGCCCGCGUAGGAUUAGGUAGUUGGUGGGGUAAUGGCCUACCAAGCCGACGAUCCUUAGCUGGUCUGAGAGGAUGAUCAGCCACACUGGGACUGAGACACGGCCCAGACUCCUACGGGAGGCAGCAGUGGGGAAUAUUGGACACUGGGCGAAAGCCUGAUCCAGCAAUGCCGCGUGAGUGAUGAAGGCCUUAGGGUUGUAAAGCUCCUUUACCCGGGAUGAUAAUGACAGUACCGGGAGAAUAAGCUCCGGCUAACUCCGUG